GCAUUCGGCCAUACCAGGCUGGGUACGCCCGAUCUCAUCUGAUCUCGGAAGCUAAGCAGGGUCGGGCAUGGUUAGUACUUGGAUGACUAACUGGGAAUACUACGUGCUGAAAGCA
This 115-nucleotide ribosomal RNA is filed under the name Salmo trutta (river trout). Lineage: Eukaryota; Metazoa; Chordata; Actinopteri; Salmoniformes; Salmonidae. The record is from RNAcentral.